RNAcentral lists this ribosomal RNA (497 nucleotides) under uncultured bacterium. Its description in RNAcentral is "partial 16S ribosomal RNA". It matches the Rfam family "Bacterial small subunit ribosomal RNA", at positions 28 to 507 of the family's 1533-position model. The record is from RNAcentral.
GAUGAACGCUGGCGGCGUGCCUAAUACAUGCAAGUCGAGCGAACAGAUGAGGAGCUUGCUCCUCUGACGUUAGAGGCGGACGGGUGAGUAACACGUGGAUAACCUACCUAUAAGACUGGGAUAACUUCGGGAAACCGGAGCUAAUACCGGAUAAUAUAUUGAACCGCAUGGUUCAAUAGUGAAAGACGGUUUUGCUGUCACUUAUAGAUGGAUCCGCGCCGCAUUAGCUAGUUGGUAAGGUAACGGCUUACCAAGGCAACGAUGCGUAGCCGACCUGAGAGGGUGAUCGGCCACACUGGAACUGAGACACGGUCCAGACUCCUACGGGAGGCAGCAGUAGGGAAUCUUCCGCAAUGGGCGAAUGCCUGACGGAGCAACGCCGCGUGAGUGAUGAAGGUCUUCGGAUCGUAAAACGCUGUUAUUAGGGAAGAACAAAUGUGUAAGUAACUAUGCACGUCUUGACGGUACCUAAUCAGAAAGCCACGGCUAACUACGUG